CAGUAGCCGCGGUAAUACAGAGGGUGCGAGCGUUAAUCGGAUUUACUGGGCGUAAAGCGUGCGUAGGUGGUGGUUUAAGUCCGUUGUGAAAGCCCUGGGCUCAACCUGGGAAUUGCAGUGGAUACUGGGUCACUAGAGUGUGGUAGAGGAUAGUGGAAUUUCCGGUGUAGCAGUGAAAUGCGUAGAGAUCGGAAGGAACAUCUGUGGCGAAGGCGACUAUCUGGGCCAACACUGACACUGAGGCACUAAAGCGUGGGGAGCAAACAGGAUUAGAUACCCGUGUAGUCCCUGUCUCUUAUAC
This 301-nucleotide ribosomal RNA is filed under the name uncultured bacterium. Its description in RNAcentral is "partial 16S ribosomal RNA". It matches the Rfam family "Bacterial small subunit ribosomal RNA", at positions 509 to 807 of the family's 1533-position model. The record is from RNAcentral.